CAGUAGCCGCGGUAAUGCGUAGGUGGCAAGCGUUGUCCGGAAUUAUUGGGCGUAAAGGGCUCGCAGGCGGUUUCUUAAGUCUGAUGUGAAAGCCCCCGGCUCAACCGGGGAGGGUCAUUGGAAACUGGGAAACUUGAGUGCAGAAGAGGAGAGUGGAACUCCACGUGUAGCGGUGAAAUGCGUAGAGAUGUGGAGGAACACCGGUGGCGAGGGCGACUCUCUGGUCUGUAACUGACGCUGAGGAGCGAAAGCGUGGGGAGCGAACAGGAUUAGAUACCCCUGUAGUCCCUGUCUCUUAUAC
Molecule: ribosomal RNA, 301 nt
Filed under: uncultured bacterium
Lineage: Bacteria
Description: partial 16S ribosomal RNA
Rfam family: Bacterial small subunit ribosomal RNA
Source: RNAcentral